This 433-nucleotide ribosomal RNA is filed under the name uncultured bacterium. RNAcentral's name for it is "partial 16S ribosomal RNA". It matches the Rfam family "Bacterial small subunit ribosomal RNA", at positions 29 to 507 of the family's 1533-position model. The record is from RNAcentral.
AACGAACGCUGGCGGCAUGCCUAACACAUGCAAGUCGAACGAGGACUUCGCUUCCAGUGUCGCACGGGUGCGUAACGCGUGAGAACCUGACCUAAGCGUGAGAAUAACGCCCCGAACUGCUUGAUAACCGCGUAUAAUGUCUGCUAACCAAAGAUUUAUCGGCUCUGUAUGAUCCGGCGUUGGGGUAGCUAAUUGUUACGGUAGAAGGCGGCCACGGGGACGAUCAAUAUCUGGGCUGAGUGGAUGAUCAGCCACACUGGGACUGAGACGCGGCCCAGACUCCUACGGGAGGCAGCAGUGGGGAAUAUUGCAGCAUCGGCGCGAGCGUGAUGGAGCACUGCGGGGUGAGUACUGCAGUCCUUAGGGUUGUAAAGCUCUUUUAUCUGUGAUGAUAUUGACGGUACCGGGAGAAUAAGCUCCGGCUAACUCCGUG